UUUCACCAUCGACGAAGGGUUUCUGACGGUAGAUGGAGAAGAAGCACCGGCUAACUACGUGCCAGCAGCCGCGGUAAUACGUAGGGUGCGAGCGUUGUCCGGAAUUACUGGGCGUAAAGAGCUCGUAGGUGGUUUGUCGCGUCGUCUGUGAAAUUCCGGGGCUUAACUCCGGGCGUGCAGGCGAUACGGGCAUAACUUGAGUACUGUAGGGGAG
RNAcentral lists this ribosomal RNA (214 nucleotides) under Corynebacterium sp. HMSC077C02. RNAcentral describes it as "partial 16S ribosomal RNA". It matches the Rfam family "Bacterial small subunit ribosomal RNA", at positions 434 to 659 of the family's 1533-position model. Lineage: Bacteria; Bacillati; Actinomycetota; Actinomycetes; Mycobacteriales; Corynebacteriaceae. The record is from RNAcentral.